RNAcentral lists this long non-coding RNA (470 nucleotides) under Strongylocentrotus purpuratus (purple sea urchin). Its description in RNAcentral is "uncharacterized LOC115923613". The record is from RNAcentral. Lineage: Eukaryota; Metazoa; Echinodermata; Echinoidea; Camarodonta; Strongylocentrotidae.
UCCACUUCCGUGCCUGUGAAGUUGUUUUAUGUCAAAAAUAACAAAAAUACUCAUUUUCCGGGACCCCGACUUUUGAUAUAAGACAUUUUUAUCGUAAUACUAUACACAUUUUGAUUUAUAAUGCUUUUUAGAUCUCAUUUAUCUAGUGAUAUGUGUUUUAUCAUAUACCCUUUCAUUCUAUCUUACAAUAAAUUCACACUUUGAAAGUCUGUAUUUUCAGAUUUACCAAAACUAUACCCCAGCUAAGAUAGGUUAUGGGGUGUGAUCGAGAGGACAAAAGUGCUUUAUGUUCGUUGGAGAGAGAGAGAGCUUGUUUUCAUUUUGGGAUAGUCUUUUAAAGAUAGGUUAUGGGGUGUGAUCGAGAGGACAAAAGUGCUUUAUGAUCGUUGGAGAGAGAGAGCCCAAGUUACUUCCAAUUACAGUUUCCUCGAACCUGUCAUUUUUGUUUGAUAUUUAACCUUAACUGCACG